Molecule: long non-coding RNA, 411 nt
Filed under: Varroa destructor (honeybee mite)
Lineage: Eukaryota; Metazoa; Arthropoda; Arachnida; Mesostigmata; Varroidae
Description: uncharacterized LOC111255184, transcript variant X1
Source: RNAcentral
AUCAAAACAACGAAGUACUGCGGCGCACGCUAAGAGGUUAAACGUCCACCCCAUAUCAGCAAGCACGCAUAACUUAUCGCUGAAGAUAAUCGUUGAGCCUCCAUCAAUAGAAUCAUCUGUGAUAUGGUCGAACUGCAUCCCCCAAGGCUGAGCCCCUUCUGAGAUCCAGUAAUCCUAUCGUGACCACGUGCGAAGUCAUCCGUUCCACUGUCGUUCACGACUCUCACCACGGGGAGACAGCAAAUGCUCGAAAGCUCGUGGCCUAACGAAGAGACGGAUGACGAUAAUAGAUGCGCGCAACUCAACGAAAUGGAACAUUGCAGCAAGAAAAGCGUUCGGCUUAUAGCAUUCGGUAACUUGGCGGAACUGCUUAGUGAAUUUGGGGCCUGAAACAAAGCAUCGCCACGAUGG